AUCACCAAAGUCAACAAUUUCAAGCCAAGAAAACAGCCAUAUAUGUAAUUAGCAGGUUAGGCUGCGUACAUAUACCCUUUUGGUGUGGCCCUUCCCUGAACCCUUAUCGCGGGAUGCUUGUGUGAUACUUGUUUACCGGGCUGCCCUUUUUUUAUUGUAGCACUUUCUGUGUAGAUUUAGAAACUUAAAAAAGCCAAAUUUGACUUUGUUUCCACUGUUUAAGAUUCUUUGUAACUGAAAUUGUAUUAUUCUCGGGCUUUAGUUCAACAUAGAAAAUGUCCAACUUUCUUCUUUAGAUCUAAAUCUAUUGUCUUUGUUACUUGUAAAUGAUGUUUGACGUCUUUUAUGAAUAAAAACUUAUUUCCUAUCUAUUAAAAAAAAUGUUAUCAACAUUGUCUUGUCAGAGUAGCAGA
Non-coding RNA from Arachis ipaensis, 413 nucleotides. Lineage: Eukaryota; Viridiplantae; Streptophyta; Magnoliopsida; Fabales; Fabaceae. The record is from RefSeq and is a predicted model, not a curated record.